Molecule: ribosomal RNA, 875 nt
Filed under: Bacillus sp. (in: firmicutes)
Lineage: Bacteria; Bacillati; Bacillota; Bacilli; Caryophanales; Bacillaceae
Description: bacterial SSU rRNA
Rfam family: Bacterial small subunit ribosomal RNA
Source: RNAcentral
UCAUGGCUCAGGACGAACGCUGGCGGCGUGCCUAAUACAUGCAAGUCGAGCGGAGAAAUGGGAGCUUGCUCCCAUUUCUCAGCGGCGGACGGGUGAGUAACACGUGGGCAACCUGCCCUACAGACUGGGAUAACUCCGGGAAACCGGAGCUAAUACCGGGUAAUACAUAGCAUCGCAUGAUGCAACGUUGAAAGUUGGCCUUUGGCUAACACUGUAGGAUGGGCCCGCGGCGCAUUAGCUAGUUGGUAAGGUAACGGCUUACCAAGGCCACGAUGCGUAGCCGACCUGAGAGGGUGAUCGGCCACACUGGGACUGAGACACGGCCCAGACUCCUACGGGAGGCAGCAGUAGGGAAUCUUCCGCAAUGGACGAAAGUCUGACGGAGCAACGCCGCGUGAGUGACGAAGGCCUUCGGGUCGUAAAGCUCUGUUGUUAGGGAAGAACAAGUACCGUUCGAAUAGGGCGGUACCUUGACGGUACCUAACCAGAAAGCCACGGCUAACUACGUGCCAGCAGCCGCGGUAAUACGUAGGUGGCAAGCGUUGUCCGGAAUUAUUGGGCGUAAAGCGCGCGCAGGCGGUCUCUUAAGUCUGAUGUGAAAGCCCACGGCUCAACCGUGGAGGGCCAUUGGAAACUGGGGGACUUGAGUGCAGAAGAGGAGAGUGGAAUUCCACGUGUAGCGGUGAAAUGCGUAGAUAUGUGGAGGAACACCAGUGGCGAAGGCGGCUCUCUGGUCUGUAACUGACGCUGAGGCGCGAAAGCGUGGGGAGCGAACAGGAUUAGAUACCCUGGUAGUCCACGCCGUAAACGAUGAGUGCUAGGUGUUGGGGGGUUCCACCCUCAGUGCUGAAGUUAACACAUUAAGCACUCCCGCU